This 72-nucleotide transfer RNA is filed under the name Camelus bactrianus (Bactrian camel). It matches the Rfam family "tRNA". From Rfam's summary of the family: Transfer RNA (tRNA) molecules are approximately 80 nucleotides in length. Their secondary structure includes four short double-helical elements and three loops (D, anti-codon, and T loops). RNAcentral also lists the same sequence under 2 other names. Lineage: Eukaryota; Metazoa; Chordata; Mammalia; Artiodactyla; Camelidae. The record is from Rfam by way of RNAcentral.
GAGGAUAUAGCUCAGCGGUAGAGUGCAUGCUUAGCAAGCAUGAGGCCCUGUGUUCAAUUCCCAGUACUUCCA